Non-coding RNA from Danionella cerebrum, 72 nucleotides. NCBI's taxonomy places the organism in Eukaryota, Metazoa, Chordata, Actinopteri, Cypriniformes, Danionidae. The record is from the annotation of a GenBank genome assembly.
GUCUUGGUGGUAUAGUGGUGAGCAUAGCUGCCAUCCAAGCAGUUUACCUGGGUUUGACUCCCAGGCAAUACA